CUUUCUGUGCAGAGUUUGCAUGUUCUCCCCUUGUUUGUAUGGGUUUGCUCCAAUUACCUUUCACAUUUAAAGACAUGCAGAUUAGGUGAAUUGGAAACUUUCUAAUUGUCCAGGUCUCCCUUGCAAAAGAGGUCUUGAUAUCAAUGAGCCUAAGAUGGUUAUAUAUAAAGGUUAAAAACCAGGUUCACAAAAUGUAAACAAGAGUCGUAAUAUUGUUUAUGGUGCCGAGGAGGUGUGUGAGACUGCAGCUUUUGCAUCAAUGCUUGAUAUGAGAAAUAUAUUUUAAUGUAUCAAAAACAUGACGUGAUUGGCAAAAACUAACACCAGAUUUGGAUUCAGCGCCCCAAAAUAAAUAAAUAAAGGAUUGAUUGAUUGAAAUGACCCAAAAUCUGUUGGAAAAACUGCAUGCAAGAUAAAUUGUGUUGACCAGUGUUAUUUAAUAGUUUUUCAGUUGCCACAAGAAAUAAUUUAUUUUGUUUUCUAGAAACGAGACUGAUAAAAGGUCAGC
Long non-coding RNA from Thalassophryne amazonica, 508 nucleotides. RefSeq lists it as uncharacterized. The transcript has 3 exons. The record is from RefSeq and is a predicted model, not a curated record. NCBI's taxonomy places the organism in Eukaryota, Metazoa, Chordata, Actinopteri, Batrachoidiformes, Batrachoididae.